Molecule: transfer RNA, 91 nt
Filed under: Acholeplasmataceae bacterium
Lineage: Bacteria; Bacillati; Mycoplasmatota; Mollicutes; Acholeplasmatales; Acholeplasmataceae
Also listed under: 1 other name
Description: tRNA-Ser
Rfam family: tRNA
About the family: Transfer RNA (tRNA) molecules are approximately 80 nucleotides in length. Their secondary structure includes four short double-helical elements and three loops (D, anti-codon, and T loops).
Source: RNAcentral
GGAGAAGUACCCAAGUGGCUGAAGGGGCUGGCUUGGAAAGCUAGUAGAUCGUUAAUCCGGUGCAGGGGUUCAAAUCCCCUCUUCUCCGCCA